AGGUAUUUCAAAUCUUGUUUCAACAUGAAAGUGUUCUAUACAUUCUUAGUUUGAGUCUAAGUCAUAGAUUAUUUAUUUAAAUUUGUACUGGAGAAUUCUUUAAGCUGAAAACUACUUUGAAUUCAAAUUGGUUAUUUUGCUGUUAAUUGGGAGACCUUACCAAUUUUGUAUUGUUUUCAGGGAAGCAGAAAGAGUGUUUUGGAAGGAAUCAUAGCCUUCUUCAGUGCACUAGAUAAGCAGCACAAUGAGGAACAGAGUGGUGACGAGUGAGUAAUAUAGUGUAGAAAUAAAGACCAAGGCUCAAAAUUUCUUCAGAAUCUAGUUCCUCAUAGAUCUUAUGUUUCAACCAUGAUCUUGGAAGUAGUGAAGAAUAGGUAAGUUGGUGAACCAGUACUUUGUGAACAUGCUGUGGGUAUGUUAUGCUGUUCUGGGUUGUCUUAUCUCGGUCACCACUUACCUGUCUGCCAUAAUACCAUCAUCAACAGUGGGCCAAUAAAUGAAAAGAUAGGGAUGAAUUCCAGCAGGGUGUUUUAAGAAAAUCUAUGUAAGUAGCUUGUACAAGAUAACAGAUAUAAAAAGGUAGGGGGUGCCAGGCAUGGUGCCUCACUCCUGUAAUCCCAGUACUUUGGUAGACUGAGGUGGGUGGAUCACCUGAGGUCAAAAGUUCAAGAUCAGCCAUGACCGAUAUGGUGCGACCUCAUCUCUACUAAAAAUACAAAAUUAGCCGGGCAUGGUGGUGCGCACCUGUAGUCCCGGCUACUUGGGAGGCCGAGGCAGGAGACUCACUUGAACCCAGGAGGCAGAGGUUGCAGUGAGCCGAGAUCAUGCCAUUGCACUCCAGCCUGGGCAACAAGAACAAAAUUCUGCCUAAAUAAAUAAAAAGGUAGGGGGGGUGACUGAAUUAAAAAUACAAAGGGACAAAAAAAAACCUAAAAGACUAAGACUGACAUUUAAAUUUUAUCAAAGUAAAGGAUUUGGGGAGGGAGAGAAAAUGAGGAACCACUAAGAAUAACGAUUAUAAAAGGGCAGCCAUAGCAGUGACUAUAGCUUGGGCUGCCUAGAGAGUCUGCCAGUCGGAACUUACUGGCAAGCUCUGUUGGGUGCUGCUGUUCUGAACAAUUUCUAGAAAGCUUAAUUCCAUAUACCAAUAGCAGUAAGGGAAUCUUCCUUUUUCUUUCUCUCUCUCUGUCUCUCUCUAGGGAUAGUAUCCAAAGCCACCAAGAAAGCCUUUCUGUUCUCAGGUCCAGCAAUGAGUUUAUGCGCUAUGCAGUGAAUGUAGCUCUGCAGAAAGUACAGCAGCUAAAGGAAACAGGGCAUGUGAGUGGCCCUGAUGGCCAAAACCCAGAAAAGAUCUUUCAGAACCUCUGUGACAUAACUCGGUAAGCCACUCCCACCCCUUAGAAACUUAUUCCACUUGGCUGUGGUGUCUCCAAGAGAACAAACUGGGAACAGAGGAUGAAGGUAAUUUGAGGUUGGACAUAUUUUAGGAGUGAAAGAAUAUAAAACAUUAGCCAGGUGGCAGGCACUUGUAAUCCCAGCUACUCAGGAAGCUGAGGCAAGAGAAUCACUUGAACCAGGAGGUGGAGGUCGCAGUGAGCUGAGUUCAUACCACUGCACUCUAGCCUGGGUGACAGGGCAAGACUCUCAAAAGAAAAAAAAAAAAAAAAAAGCCAGACAUGGCAGCUCAUGCCUGUAAUCCCAGCACUUUGGGAGGCUGAGCCGGGUGGAUUACCUGAGGUUGGGAGUUCGAGACCAGUCUGACCAACAUGGAGAAACCCUAUCUCUACUAAAAAUACAAAAAUUAGCCUGGCAUGGUGGCACAUGCCUGUCAUACCAGCUACUCGGGAGGCUGAGGCAGGAGAAUUGCUCGAACCUGGGAGGCGGAGGUUGCAGUGAGCCUAGAUUGUGCCAUUGCACUCUAGCCUGGGCAACAAGAGCGAAACUCCAUCUUAAAAGAGUGAAAAAAAGUGCAGUCAUUGACAUAGGGUCUUUUUUCUAGUCUUGCCUUCCCCUGGCGCCCCCCCCACCUUUUUUUUUUUGUUGUUGUUGUUGUUUUGGCUUUUUUUUUGGCUUUUUUUGAGAGAGUCUCGCUCUAUUGCCCAGGGUGGAAUGCCGUGGUGCAAUCUCGGCUCACUA
Molecule: long non-coding RNA, 2136 nt
Filed under: Homo sapiens (human)
Lineage: Eukaryota; Metazoa; Chordata; Mammalia; Primates; Hominidae
Description: HSALNT0224265
Source: RNAcentral